Molecule: non-coding RNA, 75 nt
Organism: Rhamnusium bicolor
Lineage: Eukaryota; Metazoa; Arthropoda; Insecta; Coleoptera; Cerambycidae
Source: the annotation of a GenBank genome assembly
GGCUUCGUGGUCGAAUGGUAAGGACACUUGCCUUUCACGCCGGAGUACGAGGUUCGAUCCUCUCUCGGGAAGCUG